UGAAUUAGUCUAACUGUUUUUGAUAAAGUAACUUCUAGUUCAUACAACUAUUUUUAAUAAAGUAGCAUCUAUCAGGCUUGAGGUUUAAAUUCAACACAUACAACAUUUCUAAAAUAGCAUAUAACAAGUUUGGCCAAAAUAACUGAAUGUCGGAUAGAACUCAGAAAAAAAAACGAUUACACUCCAAUUGCGUAAUGAUCUCAAAUGCCAAUUCAUAUUCUAGAGUUUCAACGUUACCAAUUACCUUGCUCAAGUUCGGCAAAAAUCCAAGCAGUUAUGCGUUCUAUCUCAAGAAACCGAAUAGCAUAGAAUUAUAUGUCUCAAUAUUGAAUCGUGGAAAGAAAUACUGAACGAAUCAACGCUUUAAGCUCUUUACAGAAAAAAAUAUAGACAAGAUCGAAAAAUUCAUCAUAAUUGUUAAAUGCUUCUUUCCCCAAAAUAGCUAAAUUAAACAGUAGCAAACCUGGGGGAGAAAUGAGAUAAAAGCGCAGGAAAGCUGCACCGGAUAACAGUUUGAAUGGAAAGAAAAAAAAGCGAACCGCGUUUCAUUUUUCUUUAAUCGAAACAGCAGAUCUAAGGGCACAUGAAAAUAUCAGGAAUAAAAAGCUCGACUUUAUUUAAACACCAGACAAUUUUAAACGAAAGAUAAACAUUCAAAUGGACGAUCUGGAUCGAGAAACGAACCUCUUUUUGAAUUUGUAGGAUAAUGAAAGAAAAUGAUGAAGCAGCAGAUGAUUUAGUUUGAGAAAGAUGACAGGGUAGUGUUGGAGAAUUUGCCGCCUUUUUUCUCUUUCUCGGCUCCUUUCCCUCCUUAAAUUUGAAGGCCCCUUCGUUUUUUCAGCCCCUGUGAUGCUCGGCUGGCGCUGGGCUCCUGAUCGGACUUAGCGGCCUGUAUUUCACUGGCUUAUUGAUCCAAG
This 917-nucleotide long non-coding RNA is filed under the name Gossypium barbadense (sea-island cotton). RNAcentral describes it as "long non-coding RNA (GBAR_LNC008468)". Lineage: Eukaryota; Viridiplantae; Streptophyta; Magnoliopsida; Malvales; Malvaceae. The record is from RNAcentral.